CUGAUCAACCCGUCUUAGCACCGGGGACUCGUCUUUCAGACGCUUCUUUCAAGUGUCUGCCUUCUCAACUUUCGCUGGCCUUUUAUGUGACUGCCAGGAAUAUAACGGGUAAACUCCGGUCCUGGUUUGUUGGUUUUCGAGGGACCCUGAAAUGAUGCUAAGGGACAGACGAAGGCAUUCAUAUUGCGACUUACCCAGUCACAUUCUUGGAUCGUCGCGACAAGGAAUACUGCGAAGGCUUUCGCCGAGACCCACUAUCGGAAUGAGAACAAUUUAAAUCCUUUAACGAGGAUCUAGCGGAGGGCAAGUCUGGUGCCAGCAGCCGCGGUAAUUCCAGCUCCGCCAGUGUAUAUCUAUGCUGCUGCGGUUAAAAAG
RNAcentral lists this ribosomal RNA (375 nucleotides) under Nematoda sp. RNAcentral's name for it is "bacterial SSU rRNA". It matches the Rfam family "Eukaryotic small subunit ribosomal RNA", at positions 252 to 626 of the family's 1831-position model. Lineage: Eukaryota; Metazoa; Nematoda. The record is from RNAcentral.